AAUUCGAUGCAACGCGAAGAACCUUACCUGGGCUUGACAUCCCGAGAAUCCCCUGGAAACAGGGGAGUGCCUUUCGGGAACUCGGAGACAGGUGCUGCAUGGCUGUCGUCAGCUCGUGUCGUGAGAUGUUGGGUUAAGUCCCGCAACGAGCGCAACCCUUGUCUUUAAUUGCCAGCAUUCAGUUGGGCACUUUAAAGAGACUGCCGGUGUUAAAGCCGGAGGAAGGUGGGGAUGACGUCAAGUCCUCAUGGCCUUUAUGCCCAGGGCUACACACGUGCUACAAUGGGUGGUACAAAGAGAUGCCAACUCGCGAGAGCGCGCCAAUCUCAGAAAGCCAUCCUCAGUUCGGAUUGGAGUCUGCAACUCGACUCCAUGAAGUUGGAAUCGCUAGUAAUCGCGGAUCAGCACGCCGCGGUGAAUACGUUCCCGGGCCUU
This 435-nucleotide ribosomal RNA is filed under the name uncultured Syntrophus sp. RNAcentral describes it as "bacterial SSU rRNA". It matches the Rfam family "Bacterial small subunit ribosomal RNA", at positions 948 to 1382 of the family's 1533-position model. The record is from RNAcentral. Lineage: Bacteria; Pseudomonadati; Thermodesulfobacteriota; Syntrophia; Syntrophales; Syntrophaceae.